RNAcentral lists this ribosomal RNA (429 nucleotides) under Bacillota bacterium. Its description in RNAcentral is "Firmicutes bacterium partial 16S ribosomal RNA". It matches the Rfam family "Bacterial small subunit ribosomal RNA", at positions 355 to 776 of the family's 1533-position model. Lineage: Bacteria; Bacillati; Bacillota. The record is from RNAcentral.
UGGGGAAUUUUGGACAAUGGGCGAAAGCCUGAUCCAGCAAUGCCGCGUGUGUGAAGAAGGCCUUCGGGUUGUAAAGCACUUUUGUCCGGAAAGAAAUGGCUCUGGUUAAUACCUGGGGUCGAUGACGGUACCGGCAGAAUAAGGACCGGCUAACUACGUGCCAGCAGCCGCGGUAAUACGUAGGGUCCAAGCGUUAAUCGGAAUUACUGGGCGUAAAGCGUGCGCAGGCGGUUGUGCAAGACCGAUGUGAAAUCCCCGAGCUUAACUUGGGAAUUGCAUUGGUGACUGCACGGCUAGAGUGUGUCAGAGGGGGGUAGAAUUCCACGUGUAGCAGUGAAAUGCGUAGAGAUGUGGAGGAAUACCGAUGGCGAAGGCAGCCCCCUGGGAUAACACUGACGCUCAUGCACGAAAGCGUGGGGAGCAAACAGG